CCUACGGGGAGCUGCAGUGAGGAAUAUUGGUCAAUGGUCGGGAGACUGAACCAGCCAAGCCGCGUGAGGGAUGAAGGUACAGAGUAUCGUAAACCUCUUUUGUCAGGGAACAAAGGCGGGGACGUGUCCCCGGAUGAGUGUACCUGAAGAAAAAGCAUCGGCUAACUCCGUGCCAGCAGCCGCGGUAAUACGGAGGAUGCGAGCGUUAUCCGGAUUUAUUGGGUUUAAAGGGUGCGCAGGCGGGAUGUUAAGUCAGCGGGAAAAGCCCGGGGCUCAACCCCGGCCCGCCGUUGAAACUGGCAGUCUCGAGUUGGAGAGAAGUAUGCGGAAUGCGCGGUGUAGCGGUGAAAUGCAUAGAUAUCGCGCAGAACUCCGAUUGCGAAGGCAGCAUGCCGGCUCCACACUGACGCUGAGGCACGAAAGCGUGGGUAUCGAACAGGAUUAGAUACCCUUGUAGUC
RNAcentral lists this ribosomal RNA (459 nucleotides) under uncultured bacterium. RNAcentral describes it as "partial 16S ribosomal RNA". It matches the Rfam family "Bacterial small subunit ribosomal RNA", at positions 338 to 795 of the family's 1533-position model. The record is from RNAcentral.